RNAcentral lists this ribosomal RNA (300 nucleotides) under uncultured Ureibacillus sp. RNAcentral describes it as "bacterial SSU rRNA". It matches the Rfam family "Bacterial small subunit ribosomal RNA", at positions 495 to 795 of the family's 1533-position model. The record is from RNAcentral. Lineage: Bacteria; Bacillati; Bacillota; Bacilli; Caryophanales; Caryophanaceae.
GGGGAACGACGGGGCAGAGUCGGCGGUACUCGGUGGGGGGCAAGCGGUAGCAGGAUUGAUUGGGCGUAAAGGGCGGGUAGGCGGCCAGCCUGGUCGGGAGUCAAAGCCGGGGGCUCAACCCCCGUCCGCUCCCGAGACCGGCCGGCUUGAGUCUGGCAGGGGAAGGCGGAAUUCCCGGUGUAGCGGUGGAAUGCGCAGAUAUCGGGAAGAACACCGGUGGCGAAGGCGGCCUUCUGGGCCACGACUGACGCUGAGGCGCGAAAGCUAGGGGAGCGAACAGGAUUAGAUACCCUAGUAGUC